This 119-nucleotide ribosomal RNA is filed under the name Pteropus alecto (black flying fox). The record is from RNAcentral. Lineage: Eukaryota; Metazoa; Chordata; Mammalia; Chiroptera; Pteropodidae.
GUCGACGGCCAUGCCACCCUGAACAUGCCCAAUCUCUUCUGACCUUGGAAGCUAAGCAGGGUCAGGCCUGGUUAGUACUUGGAUGGUAGACUACCUUGGAAUACCAGGUGCUGUAGGCG